Molecule: ribosomal RNA, 497 nt
Filed under: uncultured bacterium
Lineage: Bacteria
Description: partial 16S ribosomal RNA
Rfam family: Bacterial small subunit ribosomal RNA
Source: RNAcentral
GACGAACGCUGGCGGCGUGCCUAAUACAUGCAAGUAGAACGCUGAAGAGAGGAGCUUGCUCUUCUUGGAUGAGUUGCGAACGGGUGAGUAACGCGUAGGUAACCUGCCUUGUAGCGGGGGAUAACUAUUGGAAACGAUAGCUAAUACCGCAUAACAAUGGAUGACACAUGUCAUUUAUUUGAAAGGGGCAAUUGCUCCACUACAAGAUGGACCUGCGUUGUAUUAGCUAGUAGGUGAGGUAAUGGCUCACCUAGGCGACGAUACAUAGCCGACCUGAGAGGGUGAGCGGCCACACGGGGAAUGAGACACGGCCCAGACUCCUACGGGAGGCAGCAGUAGGGAAUCUUCGGCAAUGGGGGCAACCCUGACCGAGCAACGCCGCGUGAGUGAAGAAGGUUUUCGGAUCGUAAAGCUCUGUUGUAAGUCAAGAACGGGUGUGAGAGUGGAAAGUUCACACUGUGACGGUAGCUUACCAGAAAGGGACGGCUAACUACGUG